Molecule: long non-coding RNA, 6195 nt
Filed under: Brassica napus (rape)
Lineage: Eukaryota; Viridiplantae; Streptophyta; Magnoliopsida; Brassicales; Brassicaceae
Description: long non-coding RNA (BNAP_LNC015257)
Source: RNAcentral
AUCUGAGUGUUUAGAGAAGAUUAGAAUAAGUUUAGAGAAGAUUUAAAGACUAAACCGAGAUUAAGAGACUAGAGAGAGUUUUAGAGAGACUAAGAGAGACUCAUAACUUGCUUGAUCUUAUUAAUGAGAGAGUUUACACUUAUAUAGGAAACUUAAGACACUAGGGUUUUGAUUGUAUAAAAAAGAGAAAGCAUGUGAAGUAAAUAGCCAGCUACGGUCGCAUUUGAAUCCUUCCAAUGAGAGUCUCCACAUGUGUAAGGCAUCUUUGAAUAUGCCUUUACCUUUCCAGCUCCUGCCAGGCUGUUAGACACGCUCCUUCUUAUCCUCUCAACGUCCGGAUCAAGCUCAGCCUUAAGGUAAAGUAACUCUAGCUGGUUUACUCUUAAGGUAAAGGUAACUUCUGGUCGAGUGUACUUGGUACGGACGGUACGGCCAUGUACGGCCUUGUACGGACGUCCGUACCAUGUUGCCCAAAGUUCCCUCAUUCUCUUCCUCCCCUUCUCUUCAACUCCUAUAUACUCAACUCAUCUCAACACUCCCCCUCAAGCUUAGCUUUGUGAAAGACUAAGCUUGGACAGCCAUGAGAUCUUCCUCAUUAAAAACCUCACUAAGGAAAACCCAUUGGGACAAAACCUUAAUGAGGGAAAAAGAGUAAAGAUCUCAUGACUAAGGGGAUCAGCUGCUUCUCUUCCCAAGAUCAAUGAGGCCCAAUCUGAUAUGAAUGGACUCCAUUGUCUUUUGUCUUGCAGCCUUGGUGAAUACAUCAGCCAACUGAUCUUCACUCCUAGUAUAACAUGGCAAGAUGACUCCUAGGACAAUCAUCUGCCUCACCUUGUGGCAAUCAACCUCAAUGUGCUUUGUUCUCUCAUGGAACACCGAGUUGGAGGCUAUGUGAAUGGCGGCCUGGUUGUCACAAUGCAUUGUCAUUGGAGUGUCUUGUGCUAUCUCCAAAUGCUUCAAGAUGCCCUUGAUCCAAACUAGCUCGUUUGUAAGCUUCAGCAUGGCUCUAUAUUCAGCUUCUGCACUAGAGCAUGACACCACCUUCUGUUUCUUACUCUUCCAAGUCACCAAGUUGCCUCCAAUGAAUGUGCAAUAGCCGGUUGUUGAUCUUCUGUCAGCUCUAUCACCUGCCCAAUCAGCAUCACAAUAGCCCACCACUUCUGUGCUUCCAUUGCACCCCAUCCAUACACCUUGAUCCGGCGAGCCAUUUAGAUACAUCAGCAGCCUCUCCACCAUACGCCAAUGAUGUUCCUUGGGAAGUUGCAUGUGUUGACUCACCUGAUUCACAGCAAAGUAUAUAUCAGGUCUUGUGAUGGUUAGAUAAAUCAAUUUUCCAACAAGUUUUCUAUAGAGUUUAGGAUCAUGAAAUGGCUUGCUGUCUUCAAUCUCCCCCUCUCUUGGUACUUUGUAGCCAUCCUCCAUUGGCAUCCUUGCUGUCUUGCCUCCAUAAGCACCUGCAUCUUUCAAUAGAUCAAGUGUAUACUUCCUUUGGGACAUGAACAAACCUUCCUUGGAUCUACAAAUCUCAAUUCCAAGAAAGUAUUUCAUUUCUCCCAAGUCUUUUAUUUCAAACAUAGACUUUAGAAACUCCUUGGUUGCUUUGAUACCUUCUUUAUCACUUCCUGUGAUAAUGAUAUCAUCCACAUACACAAGGAGAGCAACCAUACCUGAGGGUGUAGUAAGGGUAAAUAGAGUAUGGUCCAAUUCUGACUUCUUAAAGCCUCGGCCAUUCAGAGUUGUGCUCAGCUUGUUGUACCAUGCUCUUGGUGAUUGCUUCAGCCCAUAGAUAGCCUUCUUUAACCUCAGUACAUUCCCUCUCUUCACUAGAUGUUCAAGACCUGGUGGAGGAUACAUAUAGACUUCAUCCUCAAGUUCUCCUUGUAGAAAUGCAUUCUUUACAUCCAUUUGCCAUAAUCCCCAUCCAAGGUUCACAGCCAAGCUUACAACAAUUCUAAUUGUGUGUAGCUUGGCUACUGGUGCAAAUGUCUCAAUGUAAUCCUCUCCAUAUUUCUGAGUAAACCCUCUUGCUACUAGUCUAGUUUUCUUCCUCUCAAUCGACCCAUCAGCCUUGUACUUGAUUGUAAAGAUCCAUCUACUAGACACUGCCUUCUUCCCUUUUGGUAGUUCACUCUCAUACCAUGUAUCAUUCUUUAUCAUAGCUCCUGCCUCAGCUCCUACUGAUUCCUUCCACUCCUUAUCCUCCAUUGCCUCUUCAUAGCUUCUUGGAAUGUGAUUCUCAUUCAAGUUUACCAUAAAUGCACAAUGUGCUUCUGGAUAUUGACUGAAAGAACACACGGCCUGAGUAGGAUGCUCCACAGCUUGGGCAUUGUAGUACACUCUCGUGUUUACCCAACUGGAAGGAUCCUUUCUCAGCCUUGUACUUCUUCUUAACAUUGGCCCUUCUUGUGCCAUCUCUUGCUCUUCUUCUUGUGGCAACAUUUCAGAUCUUUCUUCUUCUCCUAGCUGACUUGCUUCAGCUCCCUCUUCCCUUAGCUGACCUUCUUCAGCUUCUUCUUGUUGAUCAUUUGAUUCCACAGCUUGAUCAUGAGAGCCAGAACUCUCUUCUCUACUUGUUUCUUCACGGUUUGGAGUUCUUGUUUCAUUCCCCCCUUCAUGCUCAAGGUUGGAAGUCGGAUGAUCCGGUGCUGGAGUUGUGCUUCUCCCCUCCUGAUGUCCUUGAUUCAUGUUGAUUCCAAGCCCUUCUAGGAUCAACCUCAAGGUUUCAGCUCUAUCAGAUGUAAGAUCCUUCAAGUCUUCUUGAAUCUGCUCCUCAUAAUAUCCUUUUUCUUCAACAAACUUCACUUCUCUAGAUACUAACACUCUCCUUGUGUUAGGAUCAUAGCACUUGUAUCCUUUCUGACUUGAUGAGUAUCCAAUGAACAUUGCCUUUGAACUCUUAGCUUCUAGCUUGUUUCUUAUCUCUCCAGGCACCAUCACAAAACACAAACAUCCAAAGAUCUUCAUAUGCUCGAGUGAAGGCUUGUACUGAUUCAAUACCUCAAAAGGUGAUUGUCCUUGAAGGAUCAGAGUUGGUGUCCUGUUGAUGAGAUAACAAGCCGUAGCCACUGCAUCACUCCAAAACUUCUUAGGCACAUUAGAUUGAAACAUCAUGGACCUGGCUACUUCCAUCAAGUGCCUGUUCUUCCUUUCAGCCACACCAUUCUGUUGUGGUGUAUAGGGACAGCUUGUCUGAUGAAGUAUUCCAUGCUGAGAUAGGUGUAACUUGAAUGCUUGUCCCGUGUACUCUCCUCCAUUAUCUGAUCUAAAAUUUUUUAUCUUGGCAUUGUAAUAGUUAGUCACAUAGGCUUGAAAGUUUUUAAAUGCAUCAAUUACCCUAUCUUUGGUUGGAAUUAAAGUUAACCAGGUGUAUUUGGAUUUUUCAUCAAUGAAAGUUACAUAGUACUUAUGGUUAUCUCUAGAAAGGCAAGGUGCAGUCCAAACAUCAGAAUGAAUAAGAUCAAAACAUUUUUCAUAAACAGUAGUAGACUUGGUAAAGACAGUUCUACAAUGCUUGCCUAAAAUGCAAGCUUCACACUCAUUAUUCUCAAAUGAAACACCUGGCAACAUCAGUUUUAAAGCCUUAUUAUGAGGGUGUCCUAAUCUAGCAUGCCACAAUGCAUUUUUACUUAAACUAGAACCAGAAACAGAAGUAAAUGAGCAGCUAUAACUCGAAACAGGAGCAAGAUCUUUAAGUAAAUACAAUUCUCCUUUAGUCACUCCCUUUCCAAUCAUCUUGCUGCUUUUAAUAUCCUGAAACUUCACAUCAUUAGGACUGAAUAUGACAUUGCAUUGCAAAUCAGUAGCACAUUUCUUAACAGAUAACAAGUUUGAAGUAAAUUCAGGCAUAUAAAAGGCUUUAGUUUCCUUACCAAACAGUUUAAGACUUCCUAUCCCUCUAAUAGGUAUCUUAUCUCCAUUAGCUAUCAUCACAUUACCAUUCAUUGGUAUAAUGUUUUUAAUCAAACUAGUGUCACUUAUCAUAUGAUGAGAUGCACCAGAAUCAACUACUAAAGGCUUAGUGGUAUGUGAACUAGCAAUAUGAGCAAGGAUACUAGAUGGUUUGAAUACAUGAUCAUUCCUAGCAAUACUAGCUGUUCUAGAUUGGUUUAAUAUCUCAAUCACACUUUCAUGCAUCCUAUCAGUUCUAGUUAGAUUCUCAUCAUUCUCUAUAGCUCUAGCAUCAAAGGAAUAAGCAAAAGUGUUACCAUGCUCUUUGAAGAGCUUGAUGAGAGCAUCCAGGUCGGAUUUUCUUAGAUACUCUUGAUCAUAGUUCCCACGGUUGCUUGGGGCUCCAGUGUAGGCUACAAGAGACCUCCCAUCACCUCCUUCACGCCCAUCUAUCUCCUUUCCUUUGCUUGAACCAGCUCCACUCGUUCCAUCUGAUACAUUAGCCCUUGCCUCACGGUCCUUCAUGAACUUUUCCGGUUUGAGGUGUGGGUGAAGGAUCCAGCAUUGACUCUUCUUGUGGCCAUGCUUCUUGCAGUGAUCACAAUUCCCAUUGAACCUCCUCUCCUCAUACUUCCCAUGCGCAGCAGCCUUAUUCGCUUGUGGAGCUUCACUCCCCUCCUCUUGAGUUGCUUGGCUUGCAAGAGAAAGGUCUCCUUUCUUGGCAAACAACCCAAUGGAGCCUUGCUCCUUCUGAAUUCGCGCACACACAUCCUCAAGGUCAGGUAGAGUGUCUUCUCUAAGUAGGUGCUGGAUGAGACCAUUAUACGCCGGGUUUAAGGUGAGAAGUAGGCCAAAGACCUUGUCUUGCUCUCUUCUCUUGUUGAGCUCAUCUGCAUCUGUAGUGCUUGGCCUUAACAUCUCCAUCUCGGACCAUAGUGAUCUGAAUCUCCCAAGGUGUUUAGUGAACUCCAUAUCCUCUUGUACCAGGUUGUUGAUCGCUUGCUUCACCUCAAACACCCUGCUCAAGUUUGAUGUAUUCCCAUACACCUUCUUCAAUGUGUCCCACAGCUCCUUAGCAGACUCACAGUAGCUGUAGGCAUCUAAGAUUGCUGGCUCAAGAGAUGCGUGAAGCACUGACAUCACCAGCAUGUCCUCUUGAUACCAUUUCUCAGCCGCGUUGCUUGCAGCCUCACCAUCAUCCUCUCCUUGAGUGAUGAGCUUUGGAGCUUCUCCGGGGUUGAUAUGCUUCCACAACCCUUUGCUUCCCACCGUGGUUCUCACCAUCCUUGACCACACCAAGUAGUUGUUUCCCUUGAAACACACAGCUACCUUCAUGUUCAUAUUCAUCCCACUCUCCAUGUUGAAUGAUGAACUCUCUAAGCUUCAGAAACUUUAUCUUGAGUUGAAUGAUUUGUAGAAACCUUCACAGCCUCGAUCUUCAACCCACGCAGCUUCAGAUAACACCCCACGAUCAGUCUUGAACUUGAAAAGUACCCAGAACCUCUCAAACACACAAGAACACACAAGAGUUUCUUCAAAGCUUCAACCUUGAAACUUCAAAGAAUCUCACACGACCUCAGGUUCUCACUAACCUGGCUCUGAUACCUGAUAGGAUCAUCUGCUCCUUUGAUCUCUUGCCCCUUCAUAACCAUACUGUCCUCCACUGAGUUUUAUUAAUGAAGAGAUUUAGAUGUAAAAGAUAAUAGUUUUAGUGAUGUUAAGAGUAAUCUGAGUGUUUAGAGAAGAUUAGAAUAAGUUUAGAGAAGAUUUAAAGACUAAACCGAGAUUAAGAGACUAGAGAGAGUUUUAGAGAGACUAAGAGAGACUCAUAACUUGCUUGAUCUUAUUAAUGAGAGAGUUUACACUUAUAUAGGAAACUUAAGACACUAGGGUUUUGAUUGUAUAAAAGAGAAAGCAUGUGAAGUCAAUAGCCAGCUACGGUCGCAUUUGAAUCCUUCCAAUGAGAGUCUCCACAUGUGUAAGGCAUCUUUGAAUAUGCCUUUACCUUUCCAGCUCCUGCCAGGCUGUUAGACACGCUCCUUCUUAUCCUCUCAACGUCCGGAUCAAGCUCAGCCUUAAGGUAAAGUAACUCUAGCUGGUUUACUCUUAAGGUAAAGGUAACUUCUGGUCGAGUGUACUUGGUACGGACGGUACGGCCAUGUACGGCCUUGUACGGACGUCCGUACCAUGUUGCCCAAAGUUCCCUCAUUCUCUUCCUCCCCUUCUCUUCAACUCCUAUAUACAAAGUCCCCUCAUUCUCUUCCUCCUCUUCUCUUCCACUUCUUAUCUCUUCUUGUUCAUAUCCUC